AAACUUUACAAUGCACGUAAGUGUGAUAAGGGGAUCCUAAGUGCCUAUACUAUGUAUAGGCUUUUUCUAAGACCAAACAUCUUAGGGAAUAAGUGGUGGGCAAGACUGGUGCCAGCCGCCGCGGUAACACCAGCAUCACAAGUGGCAAUCGAUUUUAUUGGGCCUAAAAGUUCGUAGCCGGUCUAGUAAAUCCUUAGUUAAAUUGUUGCGCUUAACGUAACAACACGCUGAGGAAACUGCUAGACUAGGAAUCGGGAGGGGUUAGAAGUAUUUCUAGGGUAGCGGUAAAAUGUUAUAAUCCUAGAAGGACUAUCAGUGGCGAAGGCGUCUAACUAGAACGAAUUCGACGGUGAGGAACGAAAGCUAGGGGAGCAAUCCGGAUUAGAUACAGCUUUUUUUGUUCAAGCUAAAGCUUGAAAAAAAAACCUGGGAAAAAUUCCAGGCUGUACGAUAUUCGCUUCGCGAAAUCGUACUGACUUCUGCAUUGACGAUGCAAUAAUACUACUGUUGAUGAAGAAACAAAAUCAUUGAAAGCUGCUAAUUACCCGAGUAGUCCUAGCCGUAAACGCUGCGAGCAAGGUGGUGCAUAUCCUUCGAGGAUAUGCAGCGUCGAAAUGAAGAUGCUAAGCUCGUUGCCUGGGGAGUACGGUCGCAAGGCUGAAACUUAAAGGAAUUGGCGGGGGAGCACUACAAGAGGUGCGGCGUGCGGUUUAAUCUAACUCAACGCAGAGAAUCUUACCAAGAGCGACGGCAGUAUGAAAGUCAGGCUAAAGACCUUACUAGACAAGCCGAGAGGUAGCGCAUGGCCGUCGUCAGCUCGUGCUGUGAAGUGUCCUGUUAAAUUUCGCUACGAAAUUUUCGGAACGAAGUGACAGAAAGUCAGGCAACGAGCGAGACCUGUACUCACAAUUGCUAACAACUUAUGGGAUUGAGCACUUUGUGAGGACUGCCUGUGAAAACAGGAGGAAGGUGCAGACAACGGUAGGUCUGUAUGCUCCGAAUCCCUUGGGAUACACGCGCGCAACAAUGGUAGGGACAAUGGGAUACAACUCCGAAAGGAGAAUUAAUCCUCGAAACCCUAUCUUAGUCCAAAUUGAGGGUGGAACUCACCCUCAUGACCCUGGAAUCCUUAGUAAUCGGACGUUAUCACCGGCCGGGGAAAUUGUCCCUG
Molecule: ribosomal RNA, 1171 nt
Filed under: uncultured euryarchaeote
Lineage: Archaea; Methanobacteriati; Methanobacteriota
Description: bacterial SSU rRNA
Rfam family: Archaeal small subunit ribosomal RNA
Source: RNAcentral